AAGGUGGUCUGACAAACAGUUAGAGCGUCCGCCUCAGAUGCGGAAGGUCCUGGGUUCGAACACCAGCCGAAUCA
This is a non-coding RNA of Potamilus streckersoni, 74 nucleotides long. The record is from the annotation of a GenBank genome assembly. NCBI's taxonomy places the organism in Eukaryota, Metazoa, Mollusca, Bivalvia, Unionida, Unionidae.